Molecule: long non-coding RNA, 281 nt
Organism: Phascolarctos cinereus (koala)
Lineage: Eukaryota; Metazoa; Chordata; Mammalia; Diprotodontia; Phascolarctidae
Source: RefSeq, a predicted model, not a curated record
CACCCAGGGCAAAAGGAAGCCUAAAACAAGAGAAACAAGGACUUCUGUGGGGGCCGGUGGAAGGAAACAACUCUGAACAGCCAAAGAUAUGAACUUCAGAGAGAAAGAAAAAAACCAAAGGUUCGUGUACACAGGGAGAACACCAAGUCACGCCCUGACUGUGGCUUGGGCUGACUCAGCUGCCCGUGAAUCCAGUCUUUUCAAGCUGACUUCGAAGAAGCCCAGUGGCUCCAUAUCCAGAACACAGCAAAUUCUGCAUUUCAGGCCCCUUCAGGACCUGG